RNAcentral lists this non-coding RNA (24 nucleotides) under Arabidopsis thaliana (thale cress). The record is from RNAcentral. Lineage: Eukaryota; Viridiplantae; Streptophyta; Magnoliopsida; Brassicales; Brassicaceae.
AUUGCUGCUGUAACAACAACUCUG